This is a small nucleolar RNA of Amblyraja radiata (thorny skate), 187 nucleotides long. RefSeq annotates it as small nucleolar RNA U3. The transcript has a single exon. The record is from RefSeq and is a predicted model, not a curated record. Lineage: Eukaryota; Metazoa; Chordata; Chondrichthyes; Rajiformes; Rajidae.
AAGAUCUAUAAGAUCUUUGCUAAAGAGUAAGGUCUCACAAAGCAUGAUGAGGAGUUGCAGCGUUCCCUCCUGAGCGUGAAGCGGUUCUCUGGCUUUGUUUUACACAAGGGCCAAUGGAUAUUGAUGACCGUUCCUGGUCUAACCCCAUUGUGGGGGCUGUGGUGGGAGGAAACGCAGUCUGAGUGCU